Molecule: long non-coding RNA, 2673 nt
Organism: Esox lucius (northern pike)
Lineage: Eukaryota; Metazoa; Chordata; Actinopteri; Esociformes; Esocidae
Source: Ensembl
CGGCUGUGUCUGGUGUGACAUCAGUUCACUCUUAAAGCCCCACAUGUUAUCUGGGCGCCUUAUUCAGCUCAUCGAAAAAAGAAAAAAAUAUAUAAUCGGACCAGCAACAACCCAGGGUGGGAAACGAAGACCCAUAAAUCAACACUGUUUGAGUUUUUGGGACCACAACAAGUGUGUAGGCCUACACACUAAUAACAUUUCUCUAAGUUAUUUUUGCCGGACCGAGUAAGUGGAGCCAGCCAAGAAGAGCGAAUGUCUCUUACUGAAGAGUCGUGAAACUUACCAGAGACAGGUGCUGUCCAUCUUCAGCAUCGCUUCAGGGAUCUGUUUCCUCGGAGUGGCAUGCAUUGCUCUCUAUCGCCAUAACAUGAGACACAGGGAAAAGCUCUGGGAGCACUUCUCUGAAAGCCGGAACCUGAGGGACUGCAGUAUCAACGCCUCUGGGCUCAUGUCUAAAUCCAGCCCCAGGUCUCAUUGCGCUCAGCAGCUUCAGAAGUGCUGCAAAUCUCCUCAAGGGGGCAGCAGUCUGACAGCUGACACACCCACAGCAACUCCUACUGUCACUAGAACACUCCCCAAAGGCAAACGUUUCAGGAGUAGCUCCCUGUCCAUCAGUCCAGCCCAAAGACACCCAGACACUCAUCACUUCAAGACCCCACCAAUCUCUCGAGGACCAAGGGCUGCGGGUCCUGUCUAUAGGCAUCUGCAGGAGGUGGAUUCUACUGAGACUGAGGCAGAGUCUUUAAAACGAUGCAGAUGGAAAAACAGAAGCAGAGAGACGAAGCUAAGAUGCAGUGAUUCAUGUGCUGAAGUGAGCCAACGAGACACUGAGGCUUGAAAAUAGGAGGGACAGAGCAGAUGACCGCCAUCGCAGUGGCUUCCUGAAUAUGCAAACCCGGUCUCGUGCACCUGAGAAGAAGCAAUGGAGGGAGGUGCCGUGCACUCGCUUGGACAGAAGACUAACACCUUCUCCUCCCUCUCUCCGCACACACUCCGUUCCCAUCAUCCCCUCUCUGCAGGGAAAUGAAUGCGAGUGGGCUCGUGUGGACAGGCGCAGCCGGGGUGACUUGCAGGGAAGUGGUCUAGCCGGGUCAGGCUUCUCUUCAAUCUUAUCCUCUGAGGCUGUACUUGAAUCUGAGGCCAGACCCAGUUACAUAUGUCCCCGCAGUGCUAAGACUGCUCUGGGAUUGCAAACAUACCACAUGCAACCACAUACCUUUGAAACUCCAAAAGGAUCAGAGCGCAUGCUCCAACACUCAAGCCUUGCGGCCUCUGGGACAGCAUCAUCCGGAUCCAGGUUGAAUAGCACAAACACUGGUAUUUCUGUGACUGUGCUUAAGUCAGAGGGUAAAAGCAUGCAGUAUACACCCAGACUGCUCUACAGCUCUUCCGGAGGCAGGGGUCCUCAGGCAGCAGAGCAAAGACAGACCCAUGAGCUUGGUAAACAUGUCCCCCUGCUGAUUGAUGGAGAAGCAACCUGUUUCCUUUCAGCAGCGAUGGGCAGAGGCGCUGGAAUUACUUGUGCCAAAACUUCUGACAGCUGAUUUGAUUAUUUCUCACUAACCUGCAAGUCAAGACUCCGCCUACCGGCAUCGAUGACACGGGUUGGGGGUUGGACCACCUGCCUAACUAAUUGGACCAAUCCCAUAUGGUCUGUGGUUUCUGUAAAUGAGCCACAGCAUUCUGGAUUAAAGAGAGGAAUUUAUUGACACAUUAAAGACACUGAAUUAUUAAGAAAACACACACACACACACAGUUUAUGUGAAUAAUGUGAAACAAUGUAGACAGACAUAAAGACUGGGGAGGGAGCUUGAUUUAAAAGUGUAUUGAAAAAGCUUUAUUUAAACAAAGCUUCUACUUAGAAACCAAAAUAGUGUGUCAUCUCUAUGUUGUUUCUCUAUUGUAAAGAACUCAAAUUAUAUAUGUCAUAUAUAUGUCGUAUAGACGUAUAUAUAUUUGACAUGACGUGACAAAAUAAAGACAAAGACUACCGAGGUAGUGUGGUUGAUUGAAUUACUUAUAUCUCCCCACUGCUUCUUUGUUGUCUGUCUUUCAAAUCACUGCAUCUUUGUUGUCUGUCUUUUGAAGGUACAGCAGAGUAAAUUGUAUUUGAAAAUAUGUUUAUCCUAUUCGGAACUAUGUCAACAGGUGUUAAAGGAGGAUUCUAAAUACUCUGAUUUUCUUCCAUAAAAAUUAUAAUCAAGUCACACCCAGUGCUGCCCAGACACCUAAUGCCAUAGUUUUUUGCGAACGUUGAGAGAUUUCAGAAUGUACACAGCAAAAGACAGAUUGUUAGAGUCUCUGUCUCUGUCUCCAUGGCAACAGCAGCCCCAUUGAGCAUGACAAUGACACUUCCUUCCCCAGUCAAAGUAAAGUCCUCUAUUAAAUAAGGAGCAUCAUACAGAUUUUAUCAUUUAUUUGUUUCUCUUUCCCAAAACAGCCAUUUUAAUUAAAGCGCCAUGUCUCAUUAUUUGGCAUCAGCUCUUUUCAUAAACUCCAGCAAAGGAAAGCAGAAAAGUUUUUAACUAGCCAAUCUUCAGGUGAGAAUUUUUCUCAGAGGGAAUUCAUCAGGGAAAAGAUUAAAGCGGCAGCACCAGGGUUUGUCUCUGGUCCUGUUCACAAUAAAGACCAGCAACACAAAGGAAACAAUUUAUAUUUUCCUGCAAAUUAGUA